AUUCCUCCCUUUAAGGAUCCCCCGGCCUAUCUUCGGGAGCUCCUUCGAUUCGAUGGUACUUCUCGUGCUAAAAAAUUCAUCCGGACUAUACGUGAGUACAACUGUAUGUUCGCUUUCACUUCGAUGGGUGCUACUAUUGAACGCUCGUUUGGUAGCAGUCGUGGACCUAAGAUUUUUAAGAUCAGUGGUCAAGUGUCUCAUCGUAUUGGUUCGUUGGUGCCUAGCGGUGAUGAUACCCCUAAGUUUGCUGAGUUGUAUAUACAUGACCCAGCUAAUGAGAUUAGACAUAGGAUCAAUGCCUUAAAUCCAGAUGAUAAGCCUACUGGGGGUGUGGAUGAGAGUAUUGUGGUUGGUCUUAGAGACAUGCUUAAUGAGUUUAACCCAUUGGUACAGACCUUUCGGGAGGCGAGUAAGAUGAUAGAGGAUCGUGGUGAUGAACCCAUCGAGGAUAUCUCGAUUCGUAUUAUUGGACCU
Molecule: ribosomal RNA, 474 nt
Filed under: Triticum aestivum (bread wheat)
Lineage: Eukaryota; Viridiplantae; Streptophyta; Magnoliopsida; Poales; Poaceae
Description: partial small subunit ribosomal RNA
Source: RNAcentral